GGGCCCGCACAAGCGGUGGAGCAUGUGGUUUAAUUCGAUGCAACGCGAAGAACCUUACCAGGCCUUGACAUCCCCGGAACUUUCUAGAGAUAGAUUGGUGCCUUCGGAGACCCGGUGACAGGUGCUGCAUGGCUGUCGUCAGCUCGUGUCGUGAGAUGUUGGGUUAAGUCCCGCAACGAGCGCAACCCUUGUCCCUAGUUGCCAGCAUUAAGUUGGGCACUCUAGGGAGACUGCCGGUGAUAAGCCGGAGGAAGGUGGGGAUGACGUCAAGUCCUCAUGGCCUUUAUGUCCAGGGCUACACACGUGUUACAAUGGGGGUGACAAAGAGUGGCCAAGCUGCGAAGCUGCGCAAAUCUCAAAAAAACCCUCUCAGUUCGGAUCGCAGUCUGCAACUCGACUGCGUGAAGUUGGAAUCGCUAGUAAUCG
Molecule: ribosomal RNA, 426 nt
Filed under: uncultured bacterium
Lineage: Bacteria
Description: bacterial SSU rRNA
Rfam family: Bacterial small subunit ribosomal RNA
Source: RNAcentral